GCUGCGCCGCCGAGCUCCACACGCAUGCCUGCCCCGCCGCCGCAGCAGCUCUACACCCAUGCCGUCCACAGCAGCAGCUCCGCACCCAUGCGUCCGCAGCAGCAGCUCCGCACCCAUGCCGUCCGCAGCAGCAGGUCCGCACCCAUGACGUCCGCCGCAACCAGGUCGGCAACCUCUAGAUCCGCGCCCCUGCCAGCCGCCGCCACUGAUUCGGCGCCCUCCGUCUCCAGCCCGCGACGGUCGCGCCCCCUCCCCAGCCCGCCGACGGCCGCGCCCUCCUCUCCCCAUGGGGAUUUGGAUUGACGGCGGUGGGAUCUCGGGAUCUCGAUCCCGGCACAAAGAACUUCGAUUUAGUUUACUGAAACUCAAUCACUUUCAGGUGACAACUUUUUCAAAGAUGUGAGCUAUAUUAUUAUUAUUAUUAGUAUUGAGGUUGUAUGUGUUGAGCCCUUCUCUGCUUGAAAAAAAAAGAAGCCAUGAAGCAUGGAGGCAAACAUAAUUGCAAAUCGAUCUGAGCUGCCUAAAUUUGAGUUUGAGUAUUGGGAGAGCAGGACCUGUCGGAUGGGACCCAAAGCACCUUAGUGACCCUGAUCGUCUUCGCCGGUGCUGCGGUCAUGCCUGCACUGCUUCGCCACGCCGGGAUCACAAGCUGGGGCGUCCCAACCCUCGCCGGCAUCGCACACUGGACCGUCACCGUGAGCCAUCUUCGGAGUCGUUUUUAUGUAUUGAACUUGUGAACUUGGAAUAAUGUGUACUUUUGAAUGUGUGGUUUGUAAUAUAUUGUGAAUUUUGUACAAAUUUGGUCGUUUGUGAUAUAUAAAUAUAUAUAAAUAUGGUUUGUGAUA
Molecule: long non-coding RNA, 845 nt
Organism: Sorghum bicolor (sorghum)
Lineage: Eukaryota; Viridiplantae; Streptophyta; Magnoliopsida; Poales; Poaceae
Exons: 3
Source: RefSeq, a predicted model, not a curated record